Molecule: ribosomal RNA, 300 nt
Filed under: uncultured Halogeometricum sp.
Lineage: Archaea; Methanobacteriati; Methanobacteriota; Halobacteria; Halobacteriales; Haloferacaceae
Description: bacterial SSU rRNA
Rfam family: Bacterial small subunit ribosomal RNA (bases 52-300)
Source: RNAcentral
GGGAGUACGGGGCCAGAGGGUGGGGGAGUUCGUAGGGUGCGAGCGGUAAGCGGAAGUACUGUGCGGAAAGCGUGCGCAGGCGGUUGUGUAAGGCAGAUGUGAAAUCCCCGGGCUCAACCUGGGAACUGCGUUUGAGACUGCACGGGUAGAGUGUGACAGAGGGGGGUAGAAUUCCACGUGUAGCAGUGAAAUGCGUAGAGACGUGGAGGAAUACCGAUGGCGAAGGCAGCCCCCUGGGUUACUACUGACGCUCAUGCACGAAAGCGUGGGGAGCAAACAGGAUUAGAUACCCCAGUAGUC